GGGGGGAGGCGAGCACCGGGGCCGGGCUGGGGAGGCCGGGGCCCGGGCUCAGGAGCCGAGUCGGCUGUGCGCGGCGCGCGGGGCUCCGCUCGGGUCGUCACGUACGUCUUGGACUGCCAGGCGCGAGGAACUCCCGGCCGCAGAGCUCUUUCCCCCCAGAUCCUCUGCAUUUCUGGCCUGUAACCGGGAGAAGGGAGCAGAUGUCUUGGAAAAAUUAAGAUCGCAUCUGCGUCUUUGAGACCAACUCGGUAUAGAGUGUGGAGUUGGGACCUGUGAGCAGUCCUCACCUUCGUACCUGACACCUGUGGGCUGGGAGUGCCUCGUUGCGGCCGCUGCCUGGCCAGCGGGGGCGUGUGUACACCGACAUCACGGUGGAUUUUCGCUUGUCGACUUUGGGGGCUCUCAUUCCUUGGCCUUCCUGGAAACUCUCUUGUCUCGAAGGGAGCGGUUUUUCUUUUCUUCAUCUGACUUUUUAAUUCAUUCAUUCAUUAAACAAAUCUCAUCAGUGUC
Long non-coding RNA from Lagenorhynchus albirostris (white-beaked dolphin), 510 nucleotides. RefSeq lists it as uncharacterized. The transcript has 2 exons. The record is from RefSeq and is a predicted model, not a curated record. NCBI's taxonomy places the organism in Eukaryota, Metazoa, Chordata, Mammalia, Artiodactyla, Delphinidae.